CUAAUGUGCGUAGCAAGUCAAGAAUAUAAGUUUUGAAUUUUUCUUUGAGUUUGUUAUUUUACUUUAUAGAAUGUGUAUUUUAUCAGGAUCAUUAUUUUCCCUCAUAAGUUUCACAACUAACAGAAUGUAAAACCUUUUUUGACUGGUGCAUCAAAUGUGUCUUUUAUAAACAACUGUUUUCAAAAUUGCAAUGUACCGUCCCGAACAUGCAUGAACUAUUUGCCACUGAACGUUAAACGACCAUCAAAAACCAAGCAAU
This 259-nucleotide long non-coding RNA is filed under the name Mytilus galloprovincialis (Mediterranean mussel). Lineage: Eukaryota; Metazoa; Mollusca; Bivalvia; Mytilida; Mytilidae. The record is from RNAcentral.